ACGAACGCUGGCGGCGUGCUUAACACAUGCAUGUCGAACGGAAAGGCCCUGCUUUUGUGGGGUGCUCGAGUGGCGAACGGGUGAGUAACACGUGAGUAACCUGCCCUUGACUUUGGGAUAACUUCAGGAAACUGGGGCUAAUACCGGAUAGGAGCUCCUGCUGCAUGGUGGGGGUUGGAAAGUUUCGGCGGUUGGGGAUGGACUCGCGGCUUAUCAGCUUGUUGGUGGGGUAGUGGCUUACCAAGGCUUUGACGGGUAGCCGGCCUGAGAGGGUGACCGGCCACAUUGGGACUGAGAUAAGGCCCAGACUCCUACGGGAGGCAGCAGUGGGGAAUAUUGAAAAAUGGGCGGAAGCCUGAUGCAGCAACGCCGCGUGCGGGAUGACGGCCUUCGGGUUGUAAACCGCUUUCGCCUGUGACGAAGCGUGAGUGACGGUAAUGGGUAAAGAAGCACCGGCUAACUACGUG
RNAcentral lists this ribosomal RNA (467 nucleotides) under uncultured bacterium. RNAcentral's name for it is "partial 16S ribosomal RNA". It matches the Rfam family "Bacterial small subunit ribosomal RNA", at positions 29 to 507 of the family's 1533-position model. The record is from RNAcentral.